RNAcentral lists this ribosomal RNA (430 nucleotides) under Fusobacteriota bacterium. RNAcentral describes it as "Fusobacteria bacterium partial 16S ribosomal RNA". It matches the Rfam family "Bacterial small subunit ribosomal RNA", at positions 355 to 776 of the family's 1533-position model. Lineage: Bacteria; Fusobacteriati; Fusobacteriota. The record is from RNAcentral.
UGGGGAAUAUUGCACAAUGGAGGGAACUCUGAUGCAGCGACGCCGCGUGAACGAAGAAGGUUUUCGGAUCGUAAAACUCUGUUGUUAGAGAAGAACAAGGAUGAGAGUAGAAUGUUCAUCCCUUGACGGUAUCUAACCAGAAAGCCACGGCUAACUACGUGCCAGCAGCCGCGGUAAUACGUAGGUGGCAAGCGUUGUCCGGAUUUAUUGGGCGUAAAGCGAGCGCAGGCGGUUUCUUAAGUCUGAUGUGAAAGCCCCCGGCUCAAGCGGGGAGGGUCAUUGGAAACUGGGAAACUUGAGUGCGGAAGAGGGGAGUGGAAUUCCAUGAGUAGCGGUGAAAUGCGUAGAUAUAUGGAGGAAAACCAGUGGCGAAUGCGGCUCUCUGGUCUGUAACUGACGCUGAGGCUCGAAAGCGUGGGGAGCAAACAGG